AAGCCACAAGUGACACAAAAUGGAGGAUCGCACCUAAAAUGGAGGCCUGAGCCUUCAAACCGGUUUGAACCGAACCAGGCUCGAUUGGUUCAAACUCGGUUCAGCAUUGCCAAUGCAAUGCCCAGUUUGGUUCUAAUUUGAACCUUCGAACCGAACCAUUCAAACUUGAACCAGUUUACCCAUCCCUAACAGGCUGACACCACAUAGUUCUUUGGAAUGUGUAGAUUGGUCUUUGGCGUAUCAAAAAUCAGAGAGAAAGCUAAGUGAAAUAGUGUGUGUGUGCGUGCGUGUGUGUGAGAAAGAGCGAUAGAUGCUGUAUUGCAAAGACUUUCCAUUCAUGGCACACACACACACACAAACACACAAAACCCUGUGAAAACCAAUAGCCACAUUGCAAAGUGUGCAAGUGUCGAAAGUAGAGUUGAGACCAAGUUGCUUGAUCUGAAGGAAAGUGCCACUGGAAUACAUUUCAUGUAAUUUGUAAGAUGUCUGAAGAGAACAAAAAUCGUGUGGAGAAAUUUACAAAAGGUUGCCAGUAACAAUGCUGUCACAGUUCCUGGAAUGUGCUGUGUGGUCUUUUUCUCUGUGAACCAUUUUGGUUUGAACAAAGCAACUAAGCAAUGAUCUGUUUCUGGAUUACCCUCUCAUAUAAUUCCAGUCGCCAUCGUAAGUCCUCCAGCACUUCUGUUUCUCACAAUCAGACUAUGUGCACCACUUUAUCUUAAUUACGCUGAAUCUCAUGCACCACUCAGUGGUCCAUUCACUCAGUUUGGAGAAAUCCUUCUGAAGCUCUUCAUAAUCUGUUUUAGAUUUUACUAACUGGAGCAAUUUGGUGCCACCGACUGCACUGAGACUGAAUGGCUGCCAGGAGUCCCAGCAGACUACUCUAGCAAGCAAGCAGCCAUCAGAGGGCUGUGAAGAGUCAUAGGUUUCUUCCGUGGCUAGUUCAUAUUUGUCUGGAUCUACUCUUGAUCUCACUCUGAGGCUCCACAGGGCCUUGGGAUAUGCAACACAUCAGAGAACCAGAGGAAACUGGCAAUGGGACAAAGUCUCCAGUAUCGGCACAUUCCUGUGAUCCUUGAUCUUUUUUCAUGGCAACAAUGGCAUUAGAAUAUUACCCAGAUGUUGACGUGAUGGAUGCCCAAGAGAAAACAUGUCUCUGAAUUUCCAGUAAGGAACCGGCCUGACUGGUAAAAGACAGUGGCUGAUAUUACUCUGUUUGGAAUGUCAGCCCUUGUAUGAAAUCAGGCCAGCGCAUGCAUGGUGGAAGGGACAGGAUCGAAUUAUAGAUGGCCAUUGUCUUUGCUGAUCCCUGAAGAGAGGAAGAACUAAAAAAAGGUUCAUCGCUUGCCUAAAGAAACCACUGGAGGGAACAAAACAGAAGCCAUUUCUCCCAUCGUGAUGGAGACUUAAAAUGAGAUCAGCCUUCUGAAAGAAGUCAAGCUUAAUAGAAUCACUGCAACAGACAGAGAAAGGGGUCUGGAGUGCCAGUAAAAGAACAAAAGCUUUGAGAAAAGGGUGCACCCCCCCCCAAGAAAAACCCUAGGAGCUAGCUUGGAGAGGUGGGGAAACAAAGACCUGAGUACAUAACCAAAAGGAAGAACCUUCCAUCACUAGCACAUUUUGCUUUAGGCUUUCAAGUUGAGUCAGAUGAUGAAAGCAAAUACAGGAAAAUUCUGAAAGUGAUACUUCUCACUCAGAAAGCACAUAUUUCAUUGUCUUAAAUUCACACUUCACUGGCACACAUUGCUCAUACAUACCGACCCCACCUGCCAAACACACACUUUCAAAAUGCAGUGCACACUAUCAAAGUUGUGAAAUCUGAUAUCCUCCAAGGCAGUCUUGUACCAAUCAGAUAAAUACUACUGGCAGCUAAGCUCCAGGUGAAAAGACAAGGCCUAGGCAAGCUAGAUGAUACCUAUUGAAUGAUUGGGGCCUGCAUGUUGUUUAAAAAUAGAAAUAGCAGCUGCACAGUGCCCUGAUCUGGAUCAGAGUUACAGUGGGGAAAGGGUUGGGUUUGUUUGUUUUUAAAAACUCUGCCUCCUACAUGAUCCAGGUCCACAUCUCUUCCCCCACCACCACCACGCCUGCAGCUGCUAUUUGUGCUGGGAGAAAAUCUCCCAUUGGUGCCAUGUUUUCUACUUGUAAGAUGUUUUUCUAAGCAGGGGAAUAUUCAAAGCUGUGAACUAGCACCUUAAUUCUGAAGUGCUCCAGUACUUGUGCAAACAAGGCCUCCUUCAUCUCAGGAACACAAAAGAGCUCAUGCAGAUCAGAAGAGUUCCCUCCUGCUCAUCCCACCUCCUACUUCUAAAGCUGCUACAAUCCUGUGCACCCUUAUGUAAGGAACAAUAGCUUCUCUACUCAGACUAGGUCACGUUAGGGGAAUGAUAGCUGAGUCAUCCCUGCUGAGCUGCCUGGGUGGGCUCCUCAUAAAAGUAUUCUGUAUUCUGGUAGAUUACUUCGCUGCCACCAAGCACUUCAAAUUUUUAGAGAUUGGACUGCCUGGGCUAGAGUGCUUUAGGCCAGGGUUCUCUCUUUGCCUUAUUAGUGGGCAAAUAUAUAUAUUUUUUAAGAAAAACACCUGCUCCCCAUGUGUAUGCCUGCAUGUGGUGAGAGCUGGUGUGAGCUGGCUUAGCAGUCCUUUUUGAAGAUGGUUUGCACUAGAGGCUUUCCCCAAGCCUUUCCCAGAGUCAGGCAAACACACUGAGGGGACUUGGAAAAACAAAAACAAUUUAUUAGGUUGCUGAAACCCAGUUGGUCUUAGGCUUCAGGUUUUUGGUUGCACUUAGAAACAUUUAGAGCCAGGUCUCACGGUCAGUGAGACCCAGUUUAGCUAAGCCCACUCUCCCUGCACACGAGCUGGGAGGGAGCCCAGAGUGGCCAGAUCGGCCGCCCACACGAUUGCCGGCUCCGUGAUGGCAUGGCCCCCGGAAGCUCCAGUAUGCCCUGCGCAAGUGCGCAGGGCAUACUGGGGAGACCCCCCAGAGCCAGGAGGCGGCUUUUUGCCUCCCCGCUGGGGGUCUCCUCGUGAGUAGUUGCUCCGCAAACCGGGCUAAGGGGAGGGCUAAAAAAGUGGGCUGGCUGCUUGUAAGCCACCGGGCUUGCCUGCGAGCCUGGUGGUUUACACGAUCAGCCGAUUUUUGCUGAUCGUGAGAAUAGCCCCUUAGUUGGUUACAAGAGUAUUUAGAAUGCUCAGAUCUUUUCUUCGGCAGCACUUAGGGAAUUUAGUUACUCAGUUACAGAAACAGAUACUUAGGAAUGCAAAGCAAAAUAAACAAAAGAAAAUAACUUCUAACACAAGUCUUAAUAAAAAAUACUUUCUCCUGCUCUGA
Hemicordylus capensis (graceful crag lizard) is the source of this 3332-nucleotide long non-coding RNA. RefSeq lists it as uncharacterized. The record is from RefSeq and is a predicted model, not a curated record. Lineage: Eukaryota; Metazoa; Chordata; Lepidosauria; Squamata; Cordylidae. The transcript is spliced from 6 exons.